Molecule: transfer RNA, 69 nt
Filed under: Meleonoma mirabilis
Lineage: Eukaryota; Metazoa; Arthropoda; Insecta; Lepidoptera; Cosmopterigidae
Description: tRNA-Gln
Source: RNAcentral
UAUAUUUUGGUGUAAGAUGCACUGUAGUUUUUGAUACUGUAAGAUAUAGUUUGAUUCUAUAAAAUAUAA